Molecule: ribosomal RNA, 481 nt
Filed under: uncultured bacterium
Lineage: Bacteria
Description: partial 16S ribosomal RNA
Rfam family: Bacterial small subunit ribosomal RNA
Source: RNAcentral
GAUGAACGCUGGCGGCGUGCCUAAUACAUGCAAGUCGAACGCUUCACUUCGGUGAAGAGUGGCGAACGGGUGAGUAAUACAUAAGUAACCUGGCAUCUACAGGGGGAUAACUGAUGGAAACGUCAGCUAAGACCGCAUAGGUGUAGAGAUCGCAUGAACUCUAUAUGAAAAGUGCUACGGGACUGGUAGAUGAUGGACUUAUGGCGCAUUAGCUUGUUGGUAGGGUAACGGCCUACCAAGGCGACGAUGCGUAGCCGACCUGAGAGGGUGACCGGCCACACUGGGACUGAGACACGGCCCAGACUCCUACGGGAGGCAGCAGUAGGGAAUUUUCGGCAAUGGGGGAAACCCUGACCGAGCAACGCCGCGUGAAGGAAGAAGUAAUUCGUUAUGUAAACUUCUGUCAUAGAGGAAGAACGGUGGAUAUAGGGAAUGAUAUCCAAGUGACGGGACUCUAUAAGAGAGCCACGGCUAACUACGU